This 503-nucleotide ribosomal RNA is filed under the name uncultured bacterium. Its description in RNAcentral is "partial 16S ribosomal RNA". It matches the Rfam family "Bacterial small subunit ribosomal RNA", at positions 30 to 523 of the family's 1533-position model. The record is from RNAcentral.
AUUGAACGCUGGCGGCAGGCUUAACACAUGCAAGUCGAGCGGGGUGAUGGUGCUUGCACUAUCACUUAGCGGCGGACGGGUGAGUAAUGCUUAGGAAUCUGCCUAGUAGUGGGGGACAACAUCUCGAAAGGGAUGCUAAUACCGCAUACGUCCUACGGGAGAAAGCAGGGGAUCACUAGUGACCUUGCGCUACUAUAUGAGCCUAAGUCGGAUUAGCUAGUUGGUGGGGUAGAGGCCUACCAAGGCGACGAUCUGUAGCGGGUCUGAGAGGAUUAUCGGCCACACUGGGACUGAGACACGGCCCAGACUCCUACGGGAGGCAGCAGUGGGGAAUAUUGGACAAUGGGGGGAACCCUGAUCCAGCCAUGUCGCGUGUGUGAAGAAGGCCUUAUGGUUGUAAAGCACUUUAAGCGAGGAGGAGGCUCUUUUGGUUAAUACCCAAGAUGAGUGGACGUUACUCGCAGAAUAAGCACCGGCUAACUCUGUGCCAGCCGCCGCGGUAA